UACGAAGGGUGCAAACGUUGCUCGGAAUCAUUGGGCGUAAAGCGCACGUAGGCGGCUCCGCAAGUCGGAUGUGAAAUCCCUCGGCUCAACCGAGGACGUGCAUCCGAAACUGCAGAGCUUGAGUAUGGAAGAGGGUCGCGGAAUCCCCGGUGUAGAGGUGAAAUUCGUAGAUAUCGGGGGGAACACCAGUGGCGAAGGCGGCGACCUGGGCCAAUACUGACGCUGAGGUGCGAAAGCGUGUGGAGCAAACAGG
This 253-nucleotide ribosomal RNA is filed under the name uncultured bacterium. Its description in RNAcentral is "partial 16S ribosomal RNA". It matches the Rfam family "Bacterial small subunit ribosomal RNA", at positions 524 to 776 of the family's 1533-position model. The record is from RNAcentral.